UUUGCCUUUGUUUAUUCAUAGGUAAAUCAAUAAAAUAAUUAAAAGCACAAAAGUCCAUUUAACAUCACAAACCAAUUGCCCAGGUGCAUUCAUUAGCUUAGAAUUGCAAAGUUAUCAUAUUUCAUAAUGAUGAUCUAUUCUUGGAGCUAAGGUCUUUAGGCGCUCUAAAAUUCAAUAAAAUUUUUCGAGUGUCCCAGAUUGAUGUCCAAGAGAAACUUUCCACAUGAAUUAUUGUUAACAGGCAAGGGAGGAGUGGAAAGAAUUUUAUUUAAAGGUAAGCUCAUUUUUAUAUUAUUUUAUAAUUAAGCAUGUACAUUCCCAUAUGCUAGGUGAAAGUACAUUAUAUUUUCUUCACCAUGUCAAUUCAUAAAUGGCAUGCUAUUAAAAGAUGAAAGUGGUAAGAAAAUGAAAAGGCUAGCAUAGUGACAUAUGUAGAGGCAAACUGCUUGGAGAAUAUAAAUUUACAAUAGAAUAAAAAUGUAAAUACCUUUGUCCAUUACCUUAGUUAUGAGCCGACAGGAAUAGUAGCAUUUUGCUGGUUAACAAUUUCGAUUUUGUGUGCAUGAGAUGCAUAGAAUUUAAUGAGCUUACAAAGAAAAUAGUGGAGUCCAAACUCUUAGAGAUUCAACUGCUCAAAACUUCCUCGUCAAAUUUUAGUGGUGCCACAGCAACACCAUUGGAGUCCAGAUGAGACAUGUCGCUUGAGCCUAAUAGCUUCGCUAGUCACUGCAAAGCUUGUCAACAUCAUCUGCCCACUAAUCGGCAAGGCACAGGCAUCCCUUUACAAUUCACUUAAAAGGUAGCAGCUAGGGUGCUGAAUUUCGAGCUGGGAAUACCAUCGAGCAUCUAGAGUGCAUUUUUCAAUUCGAUGGAUGAAUACUCUUUGCUUUCUUUUUUUUUUCCCAUACUAUAUUUUCCCUUCAUCAACUUGCCAAUCCAAAUUCCAAAAGUUAAUUUCUAACCUAACUGAUCGGUCUUCCUCCUUUAAUAAUAUCUCUGAAGGCAGAUUUUCCACUCAAAUCAAUAAAUCGUUUUUUUUUCUGCAACUGACCGAAGAUUGCUGAAGGUUUUCACUCAGGUUACAUAGGUUUGUACUUACCAUUGGAGGCUAUCAAAGGCCUUCCAAAGUCCAGAAAUUGCUUCUGUUUGUGGCUGAGGUUUGCACUUACCAGAUUAGAAGAGCUUCGCUGGGGCUUUAAUUACCUCGGCGACCAAAAUAGUUGGCUGCAUAAUCGGUGCUCCUCCAAGUGCAUUUUCAUCAUUAUAAUUCUAGAGAUACAAUUCUUCCUUUUGCUCCGCAACUAUAUUUCCAUCCAUAUUUCUCAUCCUUAAUUUUACAGAUACAAGGAUCUAAAGCUUCAACAAUAACUGUAUCUAUCUUUUCCUUCACGGUCAUGACUUCCAGAGGAUCCAAAGACUUGAGACUCUCUUGCUAAUGAGAGUCAAGUUUAUUCUGAACCUUUCAAAGCUUGUUUGCCCAAUGAAAUUAAAUGCGGAAACUUCGUUGGAAAUCUGACAUCGUCGAAGAAGCGAAUCUCCACUGUGACUUGAUGGUGGUCGCUAGAGGUUGUGGCGAUCCUACAUCGCAGAAGUGGCAGGAAAUCUAGCCAUUACUUCAUGAGGGUGAUUCCCUCCCCAAUAUCUCACUGGUUUCGUUGGAGGCUACAAGUUCUCAACAGCGUUGUCGGGCCAAUUACGACGUCGACGACAAGGGUAUUGGUUGCAGAGAUCCAAAAUAGUCAGAAGUCGUACUACCUUGGCAGCAACGGGUUAUCACAGUCGCAAUAUCUCUCUUACUAAUCCUUUCAAACAUUUGAACAUUUAUGCCUCUUGAGUUGGGAACGUGCAACUUGCAAUAUAUAUUAAAAUCCAAGAAUUAAUUCCUUUUGCCUUAGGGCAAUAUUUCACUUUUUUUUUUCAUCUAAUUACAGAUUUGUCCUUUUCAAAUCAUGAUCCAUCACAAACCGGU
Molecule: long non-coding RNA, 1969 nt
Filed under: Olea europaea subsp. europaea
Lineage: Eukaryota; Viridiplantae; Streptophyta; Magnoliopsida; Lamiales; Oleaceae
Source: RNAcentral